RNAcentral lists this ribosomal RNA (492 nucleotides) under uncultured bacterium. RNAcentral describes it as "partial 16S ribosomal RNA". It matches the Rfam family "Bacterial small subunit ribosomal RNA", at positions 30 to 507 of the family's 1533-position model. The record is from RNAcentral.
AUUGAACGCUGGCGGCAUGCUUUACACAUGCAAGUCGAACGGUAACAGGCCUUCGGGUGCUGACGAGUGGCGAACGGGUGAGUAAUGCAUCGGAACGUGCCCAGAGGUGGGGGAUAACGCAGCGAAAGCUGUGCUAAUACCGCAUGUGAUCUGAGGAUGAAAGCGGGGGACCAGGCAGCAAUGUUUGGCCUCGCGCCUUUGGAGCGGCCGAUGUCAGAUUAGGUAGUUGGUGGGGUAAAGGCCUACCAAGCCGACGAUCUGUAGCUGGUCUGAGAGGACGACCAGCCACACUGGGACUGAGACACGGCCCAGACUCCUACGGGAGGCAGCAGUGGGGAAUUUUGGACAAUGGGCGCAAGCCUGAUCCAGCAAUGCCGCGUGCGGGAAGAAGGCCUUCGGGUUGUAAACCGCUUUUGUAAGGAACGAAAAGGCUCUGGCUAAUACCUGGGGCUGAUGACGGUACCGUAAGAAUAAGCACCGGCUAACUACGUG